RNAcentral lists this ribosomal RNA (616 nucleotides) under Escherichia coli. Its description in RNAcentral is "bacterial SSU rRNA". It matches the Rfam family "Bacterial small subunit ribosomal RNA", at positions 917 to 1533 of the family's 1533-position model. The record is from RNAcentral. RNAcentral also lists the same sequence under 1 other name. Lineage: Bacteria; Pseudomonadati; Pseudomonadota; Gammaproteobacteria; Enterobacterales; Enterobacteriaceae.
GGGCCCGCACAAGCGGUGGAGCAUGUGGUUUAAUUCGAUGCAACGCGAAGAACCUUACCUGGUCUUGACAUCCACGGAAGUUUUCAGAGAUGAGAAUGUGCCUUCGGGAACCGUGAGACAGGUGCUGCAUGGCUGUCGUCAGCUCGUGUUGUGAAAUGUUGGGUUAAGUCCCGCAACGAGCGCAACCCUUAUCCUUUGUUGCCAGCGGUCCGGCCGGGAACUCAAAGGAGACUGCCAGUGAUAAACUGGAGGAAGGUGGGGAUGACGUCAAGUCAUCAUGGCCCUUACGACCAGGGCUACACACGUGCUACAAUGGCGCAUACAAAGAGAAGCGACCUCGCGAGAGCAAGCGGACCUCAUAAAGUGCGUCGUAGUCCGGAUUGGAGUCUGCAACUCGACUCCAUGAAGUCGGAAUCGCUAGUAAUCGUGGAUCAGAAUGCCACGGUGAAUACGUUCCCGGGCCUUGUACACACCGCCCGUCACACCAUGGGAGUGGGUUGCAAAAGAAGUAGGUAGCUUAACCUUCGGGAGGGCGCUUACCACUUUGUGAUUCAUGACUGGGGUGAAGUCGUAACAAGGUAACCGUAGGGGAACCUGCGGUUGGAUCACCUCCUUA